Molecule: long non-coding RNA, 435 nt
Filed under: Equus caballus (horse)
Lineage: Eukaryota; Metazoa; Chordata; Mammalia; Perissodactyla; Equidae
Description: lncRNA (ENSECAG00000033127.2)
Source: RNAcentral
CCUGAGCCUGACUCCCUCAGGGCUUUUCCAGCUGCUGUAUCCCAGGAUGUUCUCACGAUUUGUGUUUAGACGUCAUUCUGGCGGAAGUUAUUGUAUGAAGACGAAAACAAGCAAGCUGGGUGCUACCUCGUGGCAUUUUUACAUUGAGAGAAACAUGAAUAUCUAGGUUAAAGUUGUUGAAAAUGUGUCCUGAAUUGGGUCUACCCAGGCAAAAUGAAGGUACCAGGAGCCUGUGAUGAAAAUCAGUCAUCUCAACUGGGAGUCGUUCCUUAUCAUUCAGCAGAGCCUGAUGUUAACAUUUCCUUCCCUGGAUUUGCUGGAAUCUGUGUGUUCCUUUCAAGUGAUGACAAACUAAUUGCACUGGCUUCCUGUCACCGUCACGAUCUUUCUGCAGUGACUGGAGGAGGUCAAUCUCUCUGACGAGCCAGAUUGCCA